GGGGCGGUAGCUCAGCUGGGAGAGCAUCUGCAUGGCAUGCAGAAGGUCCAGGGUUCGAGCCCCUGUCGCUCCACCA
Molecule: transfer RNA, 76 nt
Filed under: Chloroflexota bacterium
Lineage: Bacteria; Bacillati; Chloroflexota
Description: tRNA-Ala
Rfam family: tRNA
About the family: Transfer RNA (tRNA) molecules are approximately 80 nucleotides in length.
Source: RNAcentral